RNAcentral lists this long non-coding RNA (825 nucleotides) under Fukomys damarensis (Damara mole-rat). RNAcentral's name for it is "lncRNA (ENSFDAG00000024264.1)". The record is from RNAcentral. Lineage: Eukaryota; Metazoa; Chordata; Mammalia; Rodentia; Bathyergidae.
CCACUUCAGAAUUCCCUCCUAGACACCUGUGUAUGAUUCCUGAAGGCUCUUCUGAGUAUUUCCUCCUCCUACCAUCAGAUGUGGGUUGAGAAAAGCCAGAGGGUUUUUCACACUAAAUAGAAUGCCUGAGAAAUGCAUUCACUUGACUAAUGGGUUAAAUUGAAGUUCUUUCAGCAGUCAGGAGUGGAAACUAUACAACAAGAAGACCGGACCUGGCCAUGUCAGGAGCUCUGGCACAGCAGCCUCCCAGGGGGACAGGAGACCUGUGCCAAGAGGUUGGCCCGGUGCUCCAGAGCACAGCCUCGAAUCUUCACCAAUGUUGCAUUUACAAGAGAAGUGGAUUGGGCUGGGGAUUUAGCUCAGUGGUUUCGCUACCGCCUGCCUCAAAAAUGCAAGGACCCAGGUAAAAAAACAAAAGCAAAAUCAAAAAACAAAACAAAAAACAACAAAACAGAAGAGGGUUUAUGGUGGGAGACUUAAUGUUAACUUGAGUGGCUCAAAGAUGAAUUAUACUGAUGUUGGGGUCACAUAAUAGCCCAAAGUGAAGAUCUCUCAGAAGCCACAUUUCUCUCUUCUUCCUCGCUCUAGCACUUCAGUCACCCCAAGGAAACCACUGAGGCUAGAAUCCCUCUCCCCCAAGAUGGGUCCUAGAGCCCAGAGCCUCCUCCCCAACCCAGCCAUAAAUUCUAAUCUAUUACUCUAGAUCCUCCCCUCCACAUCAAAACUGGCCACACAGUGGUCCUCUCUCUGCCUUACUGACCGUAGGUCCUAAGACCCCUCUAUUGUGCAGAGCCCUCCCGAAGGAAGAGAUUCUGCAGGGCCAGG